RNAcentral lists this ribosomal RNA (278 nucleotides) under uncultured bacterium. RNAcentral's name for it is "partial 16S ribosomal RNA". It matches the Rfam family "Bacterial small subunit ribosomal RNA", at positions 333 to 628 of the family's 1533-position model. The record is from RNAcentral.
AGUCUCCUACGGGGCGCAGCAGUGGGGAAUAUUGCACAAUGGGGGAAACCCUGAUGCGGCGACGCCGCGUGAGUGAAGAAGUAUUUCGGUAUGUAAAGCUCUAUCAGCAGGGAAGAAAAUGACGGUACCUGACUAAGAAGCCCCGGCUAACUACGUGCCAGCAGCCGCGGUAGUACGUAGGGGGCAAGCGUUAUCCGGAUUUACUGGGUGUAAGGGGAGCGUAGACGGCAGAGCAAGUCUGAAGUGAAAGCCCGCGGCCCAACUGCGGGACUGCUUUG